UCGUGCUCUGAUUUUCGCAAGGUCCAGGGUUUUUGCGGAGCCGAGAACGAGUGCAUGCUGGGCACCUGUGCACCGCGUUGUUGCCCAUCGACUGCAGGGACGUGAAGCUGAUCCCUCGCAGCCGUCAGAAUAAUCGCGACAAAACCCCGAACCCUAAGUACCUGAAGUUGGUGGAAGUCGUCGCGAGACCGCUGAUUAUCACGAGGCCUUUCUGAUCGCUAGUCAAUUUCUUCACUGCUGCCAAUUCAAGCUCGAGAAAUCAAAGCGAUUCGAGAUGGAAUGGUGUUCCUGAAACCCUAAUUCCUCAAAAUCCUAAAACCCAACUCCCUAUAAGCUUCACUAGACUACAGUUUUCAUGCACCUCAUCUUCUUUCUCUAGUAUUCCUCGACCGAAUGUCUUGGGUUUUGGGAUUAAGAAGUAGGGAGAUCUAUACAUUUA
This 439-nucleotide long non-coding RNA is filed under the name Physcomitrium patens. RNAcentral's name for it is "long non-coding RNA (PPAT_LNC007414)". Lineage: Eukaryota; Viridiplantae; Streptophyta; Bryopsida; Funariales; Funariaceae. The record is from RNAcentral.